UUUUCGGUUGAUCCUGCCGGACCCGACUGCUAUCAGAGUGGGACUAAGCCAUGCGAGUCAACGCAGCAAUGCGUGGCAUACGGCUCAGUAACACGUAGUCAACAUGCCCAGGGGACGUGGAUAACCUCGGGAAACUGAGGAUAAACCGCGAUAGGCCAAGGUUUCUGGAAUGGACACUGGCUGAAACCUAUACGGCCCCUGGAUUGGACUGCGGCCGAUCAGGCUGUUGGUGAGGUAAUGGCCCACCAAACCUGUAACCGGUACGGGCUUUGAGAGAAGGAGCCCGGAGAUGGGCACUGAGACAAGGGCCCAGGCCCUAUGGGGCGCAGCAGGCGCGAAAAUUCUGCAAUAGGCGAAAGCUUGACAGAGUUACUCUGAGUGAUGCCCGCUAAGGGCAUCUUUUGGCACCUCUAAAAAUGGUGCAGAAUAAGGGGUGGGCAAGUCUGGUGUCAGCCGCCGCGGUAAUACCAGCACCCCGAGUGGUCGGGACGAUUAUUGGGCCUAAAGCAUCCGUAGCUUGUUCUGCAAGUCUUCCGUUAAAUCCACCUGCUUAACAGAUGGGCUGCGGGAGAUACUACAGGGCUAGGAGGCGGGGGAGGCAAGCGGUACUCAGUGGGUAGGGGUAAAAUCCUCUGAUCCACUGAAGACCACCAGUGGCGAAGGCGGCUUGCCAGAACGCGCUCGACGGUGAGGGAUGAAAGCUGGGGGAGCAAACCGGAUUAGAUACCCGGGUAGUCCCAGCUGUAAACGAUGCAGACUCGGUGAUGGGUUGGCUUUGCGCCAACCCAGUGCCGCAGGGAAGCCGUUAAGUCUGCCGCCUGGGGAGUACGGUCGCAAGUACUGAAACUUAAAGGAAUUGGCGGGGGAGCACCACAAGGGGUGAAGCCUGCGGUUCAAUGGAGUCAACGCCGG
This 912-nucleotide ribosomal RNA is filed under the name uncultured archaeon. RNAcentral describes it as "bacterial SSU rRNA". It matches the Rfam family "Archaeal small subunit ribosomal RNA", at positions 1 to 921 of the family's 1478-position model. The record is from RNAcentral.